UGCAGUGCCUGUCUGUCGGAGGAGUAUAUGCUUCUGUUCCACUGAGUCUGGCUUAAACUGGAAAACCCAUUAAAAUGAAUUUAUCAAAGAAGAAGGAAAAUGAAAAGCCGAAAGAGAGGAGGGAAAGGAGGAGGAGGAGGAGGAGGAGGAGACAAUUUCACAACAGCAAACAAUGACCAAGAGAAGGGGAAGCAGGUCAACAGCAGAUGACAUUGCUCAGCAAGUUACUGGCACAUGGGAAGUGGGUGCAAGGAUACUGCCUAUUGAAGCCAAGCAGAGGCUACUGCAGUCCUGAUGUGGACGAAGGAGAUUGCUGCUACAAAGGGUGCUGCUCUGCCUUGUGGAAUUUCUGAGAUGUUCUGGGAUUGGGA
This 371-nucleotide long non-coding RNA is filed under the name Homo sapiens (human). Its description in RNAcentral is "HSALNT0031378". The record is from RNAcentral. Lineage: Eukaryota; Metazoa; Chordata; Mammalia; Primates; Hominidae.